Rhagoletis zephyria (snowberry fruit fly) is the source of this 440-nucleotide long non-coding RNA. RefSeq lists it as uncharacterized. NCBI's taxonomy places the organism in Eukaryota, Metazoa, Arthropoda, Insecta, Diptera, Tephritidae. The record is from RefSeq and is a predicted model, not a curated record.
GUAAUGCAAAAUUUCUAUAAUUUGAUACCAAUUCGCCAAAAAUCGCGUCACUCGGCAACACACGUAAGCUGAAAAUAUUUCUCGAAAGCGGUUUACGUAAUUCAGUUGCAGUUUCGCCCUUAAAUUUUUUCCGAAAGUGAUUUGUGCAAUAAGGACUUUCUGGCUGUUUACGCGGGAAAGUAGACUUUUGCUAUGACAGCAAAAUGCGUAGGAAAAACGCUUGCAUUGCCACGUUUAACCGCAUAAAUGUAAGAUAUGAGUAAAUCGAGAGGUUAUUUUUUUUAUUGAUUUUUUGUUGGUGACGUGGGCCUAACAUUUUAAAUGCAAAUGUACAUCAAUUUGACACAGGAUUAACAAUUAAUAAAUAAAUUAUAUACGUUAAAAGCUAAUAGAAGAAGAAAUCAAGAAUGAAAUAUAAAAUUAUUCCAUGAUAACAGAAA